This 1274-nucleotide long non-coding RNA is filed under the name Mus spicilegus (steppe mouse). RNAcentral describes it as "lncRNA (ENSMSIG00000024824.1)". The record is from RNAcentral. Lineage: Eukaryota; Metazoa; Chordata; Mammalia; Rodentia; Muridae.
AGAGGACUCUUGAGGUCCUUCAAAACAAAUGUCUGCCUUUGACCCGAGUCACCUGUCAAUCAAGGCUUCCAGACCUUCUGGAACACACUGAUUUGGAACAAGCUUCCUAUCCAUCGGGAUAAUGGAAUGACCAGACAAAACCUCCUUCAGAUGUGCUGACCCUCUCAGCAUCUCAAAUCCAAUGAAUGCAGCCAUCAAGGAAGCACAGUUCACAGGGGCUGGCAUGGAUGGGGAUACACGCUUACCUAAAGGUGCAGAUGUGGACCAAGUACCUCCUCAUGCCCCAGAAUGCAUCACGGCAUGUUUAGCAGGCUUCCUCAUUUCCUGCUGCUGUCCCUUUGGCCCAGACUUCUCAUGGAUCCAGGGCAUUCACCCUCUUCCUACAUGGUCCAGGAACCUCAAGAGGUCGGAUUUCAGAACGAAUAGGAAGCCACAAGAAUCUUGCAGCAUGCAAACCCAGCUGGAGUGGAGUCAAUGGUGGAUUCCCUUCUGCAGAUGCCUCUUUUCAGCCCAAGUACAGUCAAUUCCGCGCAGCUUGGAUCUUGGAGCCUCGAGAGCUGUCCACACAAAUCCGUUCAAACAGGAAAAGCCAGCAUGCUGGCCUCUGGCUUGCAUCUCAGAGCUUUGAACUAUCAGUUUGCCCGCCAAGAACGUGUUCCGAAUGGCUGUUUUGCGUGGCAGGGGAGAGCUCUUGCAGACUCAGAAUCUACAUCACUACCAGAAAAUGGGAAGCGCCUGGUGAUUUUGGAAGUAAAUCCUUCCAGACUUAAUUUCUUAGGACCACGUGACAUCCCACACUACAAAGAGCACAUUUUAGCUGUUGAGUGUGGAGCAGGCAGCAAGAACCACUUCUACCAGCUUCGGCUGCCCUGAAAGCAGGCAUUGCUGUGGGAGGAGGGCCAGGGCAGGAGGUUUGCUUGGAAAGAGGAAGGUUCCUGUGGGGAAAGAGGAUGGAGAGACAGGGCCUGGGCUAGGUCUUGUGACUGGAGCUCUGGAACUCUUGGAGGAGCAGUGGUUUCCUAGGGACUUGAGGGCAGGGGUGGGGUGUCUAUCCUUUGACUACAUCUUUCAGUGUCCCUGGCUGCAAAUCUCUAGUACUUUCUGAGCUAUUCAAGCGAGAACUAAACAGCCUCCUACAGUGAGCAAAUACCCAUAGGAAAGGAGGGAGCGAGGGUGUCAGAGGUGGACAUGCACAAGUACUAUCCAAGGACACAGUGUGGGGCACAUGUGGGGGCAGUUCUGGGUCUCCAAAAUAAAAGGCUGGAGACACACCA